Molecule: ribosomal RNA, 645 nt
Filed under: Mimusops laurifolia
Lineage: Eukaryota; Viridiplantae; Streptophyta; Magnoliopsida; Ericales; Sapotaceae
Description: eukaryotic LSU rRNA
Rfam family: 5.8S ribosomal RNA (bases 213-368)
Source: RNAcentral
GUAUGCGGACUGCAGCAGACACCCGCGAACUUGUAUAGCAACCACCGGGGUCCUUGUGCCCUCGCCAGGUGCGCUCUUGAAUUGCGUUGCCUCGGCUAACAACUUAACCCCGACGCGAAUUGCGUCAAGGAACUUUGACAAGAAGAGCGCCCCCUACUCUCGUUCGCGAGUGUGAAGUUGCGGGGGUGGCUGCAUCUUUUUAUGAACAUAACGACUCUCGGCAACGGAUAUCUCGGCUCUCGCAUCGAUGAAGAACGUAGCGAAAUGCGAUACUUGGUGUGAAUUGCAGAAUCCCGUGAACCAUCGAGACUUUGAACGCAAGUUGCGCCCGAAGUCAUUAGGCCGAGGGCACGUCUGCCUGGGUGUCUCGCAUCACGUCGCCCCCCACCUUGUGCCCGUAACGGGCUCUUGGGGUUGGUGGGGGGCGGAUUUUGGCCCCCCGUGUCCCGUAGUGCAUGGUCGGCCUAAAUUUGGAGUCCUUGGGCGUCAAACGUCACGACCGAGUGGUGGUGGACGUGAAUACCCAUUGCCGCAUGUCGGGGCCGUCUUGAACACAGGGAUGUUUUGUCUUCGAACCGUAAGCACCGUUUCACCGGACCUUGUCGCACCCCAGGUAAGCGGGAUUACCCGGUUAGUUUAGCAUCC